AUGCUAACAUGUAGAGGGUUUGGCAAUAAGUGGAUUAGGUGGGUAUUGUCCGUCAUCCAAAAUAGGUCAUUUAGUGUUCGUAUUAAUGACAUAAAUGGACCUUAUUGUGUUGGCAGGAAAGGCUUGAAACAAGGGGACCCAUUCUCCCCCAUGUUGUUCAACCUUGUGGCUGAUGUGUUCUCCAGGAUGUUAGCGAAAGCUGUCGGAACUAAUGUUAUUUCUGAGAUUAUUCCUUAUAUAGUACCUGAUAGCUUAGUCAGUCUUCAAUAUGCUCCUGAUACGACUCUUUUCCUUGAUCCUAAUCUUGAAUGCGCCAGAAACUUAAAGUGGUUGCUUUCUUGUUUUGACUAG
This 351-nucleotide ribosomal RNA is filed under the name Triticum aestivum (bread wheat). RNAcentral's name for it is "partial small subunit ribosomal RNA". Lineage: Eukaryota; Viridiplantae; Streptophyta; Magnoliopsida; Poales; Poaceae. The record is from RNAcentral.